This 326-nucleotide ribosomal RNA is filed under the name uncultured eukaryote. RNAcentral describes it as "partial 18S ribosomal RNA". It matches the Rfam family "Eukaryotic small subunit ribosomal RNA", at positions 1470 to 1796 of the family's 1831-position model. The record is from RNAcentral.
CCCUUAGAUGUUCUGGGCCGCACGCGCGCUACACUGAUGCAUUCAACGAGCCUAGCCUUGACCGAGAGGUCCGGGUAAUCUUUGAAACUGCAUCGUGAUGGGGUUAGAUUAUUGCAAUUAUUAAUCUUCAACGAGGAAUGCCUAGUAAGCGUGAUUCAUCAAAUCGCGUUGAUUACGUCCCUGCCCUUUGUACACACCGCCCGUCGCUCCUACCGAUUGAGUGUGUUGGUGAGGAGUUCGGAUUGGCUCUUAGUGGUGGUUCGCCACCACCUAGAGCUGAGAAGUUCUCCAAACCGCCCCACUUAGAGGAAGGAGAAGUCGUAACA